UACGUAGGGGGCAAGCGUUAUCCGGAAUCAUUGGGCGUAAAGCGCGUGUAGGCGGUUCCGUAAGUCCGCUCUGAAAGCCCAGGGCUCAACCCUGGGAGGCGGGUGGAUACUACGGAACUGGAGUACGGAAGAGGAGAUUGGAAUUCCUGGUGUAGCGGUGGAAUGCGCAGAUAUCAGGAGGAACACCAAUAGCGAAGGCAGCUCGCUGGGACGUUACUGACACUGAGGCGCGAAAGCGUGGGGAGCGAACAGG
This 253-nucleotide ribosomal RNA is filed under the name uncultured bacterium. Its description in RNAcentral is "partial 16S ribosomal RNA". It matches the Rfam family "Bacterial small subunit ribosomal RNA", at positions 524 to 776 of the family's 1533-position model. The record is from RNAcentral.